AGACGAGCAAUGAUUGAUAUUGACCUUACAAUUAUGCCAAGUGCCGUGUGGAUCAGAUACACCAGGUGCCAAGAUGUUCUUGAUCUGCCAAAAACGUACAAUACAUUCAUCGGAAAAUUAAUCAAUAAUACACUCGAUCAUAUCGAUCAAGCAAAUUUAUAAGAAAACGUUUUCGAUUUUUUUCCACCUGCCAUGAAUCAUAAGCAGCAUUCAGUAAGAAAAGAGGAGUUCGAAUUUCCGACACUACGUUCUCCGGGAAGAAACACUUCAUGCAUGUCAAAUGAAUCAGCGUACAAAUCUCUAUAUUAAUCAUAGAUUAAUUAAAUUUAAUUUAAUCACCAAAUGCAAUUACCAAUCCAGAAUUCAUUUUCGAUGUGCAGGAUCUUGGCAGAUUCUUCGCGGAUUGCUGUAAUCAUUCAUCAUCAUGCAUGUAAAUAUGUAAUUAUCCAUCGUUUCCAAAUUAAACACAAACAUAAUUAUCUCAUUUUUCAUGCACGUACAUGUGUUCCGACGACUCGCCGGUAGAAAUUUUCGAUGUUUUUUGUUCCGUCGAUGGAUUUCCUGUUAAUAAAUACAGUAGUUAAUAAAAUUAUAUGUAUAUAUGCAACAGCAUGAAUCAAAAAAUUACGUAUUGAUGAAGUAGCCGGCAUCUGCCAAGCAUUUAACGUUGGUUCUUCCGGGCAUAAUAUCACGGAAGUGAUCGCAUUGCAGUAUAGCAGCUAAACCUC
Molecule: long non-coding RNA, 728 nt
Filed under: Zostera marina
Lineage: Eukaryota; Viridiplantae; Streptophyta; Magnoliopsida; Alismatales; Zosteraceae
Description: long non-coding RNA (ZMAR_LNC001311)
Source: RNAcentral